This 502-nucleotide ribosomal RNA is filed under the name uncultured bacterium. RNAcentral describes it as "partial 16S ribosomal RNA". It matches the Rfam family "Bacterial small subunit ribosomal RNA", at positions 29 to 523 of the family's 1533-position model. The record is from RNAcentral.
AUUGAACGCUGGCGGCGUGCUUAACACAUGCAAGUCGAUCGGUAACAGGUGUAGCAAUACAUGCUGACGAGAGGCGGACGGGUGAGGAACGCUUGGGAAUCUGCCUAUCAGCGGGGGACAACCCGGGGAAACCCGGGCUAAUACCGCAUACGCUCUACGGAGGAAAGCCGGGGACCGCAAGGCCUGGCACUGAUAGAUGAGCCCAAGUCGGAUUAGCUAGUUGGCGGGGUAACGGCCCACCAAGGCGACGAUCCGUAGCUGGUCUGAGAGGACGAUCAGCCACACCGGAACUGAGACACGGUCCGGACUCCUACGGGAGGCAGCAGUGGGGAAUAUUGGACAAUGGGCGAAAGCCUGAUCCAGCGACGCCGCGUGGGUGAAGAAGGCCUGCGGGUUGUAACGCCCUUUCGGUAGGGACGAAAGCUCUCGACCUAACACGUCGGGAGGUUGACUUAACCUACAAAAGAAGCACCGGCUAACUCUGUGCCAGCCGCCGCGGUAA